AUUGUAGUCUGCAACUCGACUACAUGAAGCUGGAAUCGCUAGUAAUCGCGAAUCAGAAUGUCGCGGUGAAUACGUUCCCGGGUCUUGUACACACCGCCCGUCACACCAUGGGAGUCAGUAACGCCCGAAGUCAGUGACCCAACCGAACAGGAGGGCGCGGCCGAAGGUGGGUCCGGUAAUUGGGGUGAAGUCGUAACAAGGUACC
Molecule: ribosomal RNA, 205 nt
Filed under: uncultured bacterium
Lineage: Bacteria
Description: partial 16S ribosomal RNA
Rfam family: Bacterial small subunit ribosomal RNA
Source: RNAcentral